UGGGGGAUAUUGCACAAUGGGCGAAAGCCUGAUGCAGCGACGCCGCGUGGGGGAUGAAGGCCUUCGGGUUGUAAACUUCUUUUGCUCUGAACAAGGCGCACCAUGGGGUGUGUUGAGUGUAGGGGUUGAUUAGCGCCGGCUAACUACGUGCCAGCAGCCGCGGUAAUACGUAGGGCGCGAGCGUUGUCCGGAAUUAUUGGGCGUAAAGGGCUUGUAGGUGGCUGGUUGCGUCUGUCGUGAAAGCUCAUGGCUUAACUGUGGGUUUGCGGUGGGUACGGGCUGGCUUGAGUGCAGUAGGGGAGGCUGGAAUUCCUGGUGUAGCGGUGGAAUGCGCAGCUAUCAGGAGGAAUACCGGUGGCGAAGGCAGGUCUCUGGGCUGUUACUGACACUGAGGAGCGAAAGCAUGGGGAGCGAACAGG
This 419-nucleotide ribosomal RNA is filed under the name bacterium. Its description in RNAcentral is "partial 16S ribosomal RNA". It matches the Rfam family "Bacterial small subunit ribosomal RNA", at positions 355 to 776 of the family's 1533-position model. The record is from RNAcentral.